UAGUUACCAUCAUUUAGUUGGGUACUCUAAAGGAACCGCCGGUGAUAAGCCGGAGGAAGGUGGGGAUGACGUCAAGUCCUCAUGGCCCUUACGCGCUGGGCUACACACGUGCUACAAUGGCGGUGACAGUGGGCAGCAAUCCCGCGAGGGUGAGCUAAUCUCCUAAAGCCGUCUCAGUUCGGAUUGUUCUCUGCAACUCGAGAGCAUGAAGGCGGAAUCGCUAGUAAUCGCGGAUCAGCAUGCCGCGGUGAUACGUUCCCAGGC
RNAcentral lists this ribosomal RNA (264 nucleotides) under uncultured bacterium. Its description in RNAcentral is "partial 16S ribosomal RNA". It matches the Rfam family "Bacterial small subunit ribosomal RNA", at positions 1112 to 1379 of the family's 1533-position model. The record is from RNAcentral.